This 324-nucleotide ribosomal RNA is filed under the name uncultured bacterium. RNAcentral's name for it is "bacterial SSU rRNA". It matches the Rfam family "Bacterial small subunit ribosomal RNA", at positions 28 to 334 of the family's 1533-position model. The record is from RNAcentral.
GAUGAACGCUGGCGGCGUGCCUAACACAUGCAAGUCGAACGAAGCAAUCAAGAUGAAGUUUUCGGAUGAAUUCGAGAUUGACUGAGUGGCGGACGGGUGAGUAACGCGUGGAUAACCUGCCUCAUACAGGGGGAUAACAGUUAGAAAUGACUGCUAAUACCGCAUAAGCGCACAGUACCGCAUGGUACAGUGUGAAAAACCCCGGUGGUAUGAGAUGAGCUCGCGUCUGAUUAGCUAGUUGGCGGGGUAACGGCCCACCAAGGCGACGAUCAGUAGCCGGACUGAGAGGUUGAACGGCCACAUUGGGACUGAGACACGGCCCAG